CCUGAACGCUGGCGGCGUGGCUAAGACAUGCAAGUCGAACGGGUGUAGCAAUACACCAGUGGCGGACGGGUGAGUAAUGUAUCGCUAACGUACCCUCGAGCCAGGGAUAGCUGCCCGAAAGGGCAGGUAAUACCUGAUGAAAUAACCUUAUCGCAUGGUGAGGUUCUCAAAGCAGCAAUGCACUCCUGGAGCGGGCGAUAUCGUAUCAGCUAGUUGGUGAGGUAACGGCUCACCAAGGCGACGACGCGUAGCCGGACUGAGAGGUUGGCCGGCCACA
This 277-nucleotide ribosomal RNA is filed under the name uncultured bacterium. RNAcentral's name for it is "partial 16S ribosomal RNA". It matches the Rfam family "Bacterial small subunit ribosomal RNA", at positions 30 to 312 of the family's 1533-position model. The record is from RNAcentral.